GCUUAUCUUGGGAACCUUUCUUGCUGUCUUUACGUAUAUCUAAACAAGAAUCUAACAGAUAAGCCACUUUCUCCAACCACUCCUCGACGACUUUUAUGAAGCCGCCAUCUUUUUCCCGUGUUCUGCACUUGUGAACGGUUUAGAGUGUGUGUUAUGUUGGGGCAAGCAAAGUGUUUCACCGAGAAUUAGACAGAAAAUGGGUUGGGGAAAUCUCUUCUUCGCUGUCCUGAUAACCUCCUCAGUAGCUCUGAUUACAUACAAUAUUCUCAUCUCUGCCAAUGCACCUCUCAAGCAAGACCUUCCAGGUCCAUCUACUACAUCUUCCUCUUUUCUUUCUGUUGACCCCAUAAUCAAGAUGCCACUUGAGAGGUCCAGGAGAUACGGUUCUGCCAAGAAGAGGCUGUUUCACACUGCUGUUACAGCCUCCGAUUCAGUUUAUAACACGUGGCAGUGUAGGGUAAUGUACUACUGGUUCAAGAAGUUCAAGGAUGGACCUAAUUCUGAGAUGGGUGGCUUUACCAGGAUCUUGCACUCUGGAAAACCUGACAAGUUCAUGGAUGAGAUCCCAACCUUCAUAGCCCAGCCUCUUCCGUCUGGCAUGGAUCAGGGUUAUAUAGUCCUGAACAGACCUUGGGCAUUUGUGCAAUGGCUUCAACAAGCAGACAUAAAAGAAGAUUACAUACUAAUGGCAGAGCCGGAUCAUAUAAUUGUUAAGCCUAUGCCAAACUUAUCUAAAGAUGGGCUUGGAGCUGCAUUUCCUUUCUUUUAUAUUGAGCCUAAGAAGUAUGAAUCAGUCCUCCGAAAGUACUUCCCUGAGGACAAGGGACCAAUAACAAGCAUUGAUCCUAUAGGAAAUUCUCCUGUCAUCCUUGGAAAGGAAUCUCUUAAGAAGAUUGCUCCCACUUGGAUGAAUGUUUCCUUGGCAAUGAAGAAGGAUCCUGAAACAGAUAAAGCUUUUGGUUGGGUGCUUGAAAUGUAUGCUUAUGCUGUUGCAUCUGCUCUUCAUGGUGUUAGGAACAUAUUAUACAAGGACUUCAUGAUUCAGCCCCCAUGGGAUACGGAAGUUGGCAAGAAGUUCAUAAUUCAUUACACUUAUGGAUGUGACUACAACUUAAAGGGUGAGCUAACAUAUGGCAAAAUUGGAGAGUGGCGAUUUGACAAGAGAUCCUAUCUACGGGGACCUCCACCAAAAAAUCUUCCCUUACCCCCUCCAGGGGUUCCUGAAAGUGUGGUAAACCUUGUAAAGAUGGUCAACGAAGCAACAGCCAACAUUCCCAAUUGGGACACUGAGUAGAUGUGUUCUUUCCAGGUGGUCAAGCCCCAUAUAACUUUAUUCUUGAGAUGGUUGAAAUUUUGAUCCAUAGCCAUUCAGAAAUUUCACUGUUUAGAAACCUCAGGCUAAUCACUUCAAAUUAAGGGAUAGCAUAAUAUAGGUAUAAAUUAAGGAAGUUCUUUUAUAUCUCAAUUUAGAACAAACACAGUAUAAAUUUUAUUCUUCCUUCAUUUGUGGCAGAUAAAUACUGCACACUCUCAAAUUGAGAGAGAAAUUUAUUAUAGUUGCUGGUUUUGAUCUAGUUGAGCUAGAUGGUUACAUGAUGGUGAAGCUUAAUGUUCUGAAUUUUAAUAAUGCUGACAAAAAAUGACGAGUAUCUGCUAGUCAGACUAGCCUGUAAAGUAUUAGUCAUAGAAUUGCAUUUGUUGAUCUAAAGUCUUGGGUUUUUGAAUCUUAGAGUGCAUUAUUGGCAAUUAUAAGAAGCAUGGUAAGGGUUACAAGCUGUGUUCAUUGGUUUGUAUUUUUAUGAGGGAAUUGAGAUUGAGGUGAAGAGUUAAAUGAAGGGGAUUAUAAGAGGUAAAAACAUUCCAUUUUCUUGAAGUCUCAUUGUUAAACAUGGUGAUAGAGAUACAUAGAAAUAUCAGAAAUGGAGUAGUGAAGGGCAGUGGUGGUGGGCACUGCGCAAUGUCAAUGAUAGCUAAAGGGGGUUGCAGGAUGCCAGGAUCGUGAGGUGAUGGAGCUGGUGGCUGCAAGAAUGAAGGUGAGAUACUUCUCUUGGUGGUGGAGAUGGCAGCAGGUUUCUGGUGGUGACGAUUUGGUAGAGAUAGUUGGAUCCAUGUUGGCAGUAGUGGUAUUCUGGUGGUCCUAUGGUAUUACUGGGGGCCAAUAGCAUUAUGAUAGAUGAUAUGCAAAUGAUAGAGAGUUUCUAAAUGGAAUUGGCAUGCAAGUGUUUCUAAAUAGUUCUGCCUGAUGGACUGUUUAUCCACAGAUUUCUAAUUUAAGUGUUCAAAUUAGGUGCUGAACUCAAGUGUUUCUUAGGAAAAUAGCAAGUGCAUUGGACACUUGGGGUUUUGAUCUGGUCCAGUUCCAGGACAUGACAUUGACCCUCUGUGUGUUUGUGGUACAAUAAUGUAUAACAGAAUAUCCCACUCUUUUUUCUGCGAGUUAAUAUCUAGUAUACAUACAAGUUGUAAGAGAAUAGUUUAAAUAUCAAAACAUACAGGUGAUUUCAAGUUGUGAUCUAGAAAUUGAUAGCAAAGAAAGAGGAAGAGAUUGAACUGAUCUUCCCUAAAGAAAAUUCUAUUGAGAAUUGAUUUUUAAAGUUGAUAAUUGGAUGCCAAAACUGAUAGCCAUCUAGUUGGUUGUGUUUUGAAGAGAUUAGUGUUGAAAUAUCAUGAUUUGGCAGGAAAGAAGGGGUAUAGAAAAAGCAGAAAAGCACAUUAUACCUUAUCUCUAGGAUAGAGCAAAAGAUACCUUUUGGGCAAAUCAGGAGAUAAUCAUGUCUUUUAUUUUCACAAGAACGAGUGACAUGAUUUGAAUUUGGAGGUUAAAAAUGUUGAUUUCUCUUUCCCCUUAUCUUAAUUCUUUAAUUUAUAAACCAAAGUAGACGGGAUAAUAUGUAUUGCAAGCAAGAAAAAAGAGGAGGGGGGACUGGGUAGCCAUUCGUGGUGGAACCGACCACUUAAUAAUGUUAGGUUCAUGAGGCUUUCUAAUACGCCAAUACCUGACACACGGUCCAUGAAAUGAGCGAAUUUUCCAUUUCUCCAUAGGGUUGUGGUCCCUUGAGGAGGAGCUUCACUUUAGGGCCAUAGCGGGGGAGAUCCCCAUAUCGUUUAACCUAUUUCUUUAUCGUCCAUGACUAUGCCCAAAACAUCAUGUUACCCUUACCCAAAUUCAAAGAUUAGUUUUUUCUGAUUUGACUUACCCCAUUAUUUAUUUCUUUAAUUUUAUUAAGAAAAAAAUAGACUCCAACAUUUUUAUUAAGUGUUGAGAGAUAUACCGAAUUAUCUAUCACCAAACUAAAAUUUUAAGUUUUAGAUUUUAAAGAAUAAGAAUAUUCAAACUCCUAAUCUUACAAGUAAACUCUGCUAAGAGAUCAAUUCUAUGUUACUGAUGCAACUAUAUUUCGAUGAUAAGAGCUAUUUUUUAAUUGUAUACUACUGUUAAAUUUACUGUCGCAAAAGUCUACAUUAUUAGUGAAUUAAUGUUAGUCUUGUGAUAUGGCUUGAAAUUUUUAGUUUAUCAGGAAUCAUAGUCCUACUAAUGAAAUAGAUUCGUUUGAGAAUUCAUGAAAAUAAAGAAUUAAAAGGAAUAAAAGUUAGAGAGUAAUGAUGAAGAGUGACUGAGUGAGAAGAAAAGGAAUAAAGCAGAAAACAUGCCGGGGAGGCGUGAAUAAAUCUAUGGUUGUCGGCAAACAAGAGUGACCCAUCAUCCAUGCAAGCACCUCACGUGACACAUAUUUCGCUAUUAUCCUCACAAAGCAUACAGAACAAGUACAGAAUGGAGGGGAACAGAAGGUGGCGAGUGAUGAGUGGGUGAGGAAGGGCAAGAAAAAAGUAAGCCAAAGACUGCAGCAGGGUGCUCAUUUGCUCAUCUCUUCACUCUGAUAUUUUCCCUGAAGCAGAUCAGUAAGAGUUGUAGAUUUCACUUUGUUAAAUAUUGUAAUAAGUUACUCGUGAUCUCCUUUCUUUCUUUUUUACUUAAAUACUUCAAAAUUGUACCUACUUCUAUAUCCUUGUUAAAAAUUAAGUUUCUUAUUGCAAAUUUGUAUGUAUUAACUUGAUUUGGAGUGGUCAC
RNAcentral lists this unclassified non-coding RNA (4069 nucleotides) under Hevea brasiliensis (rubber tree). Lineage: Eukaryota; Viridiplantae; Streptophyta; Magnoliopsida; Malpighiales; Euphorbiaceae. The record is from RNAcentral.